GGGUUGUGAGGUUAAGCGACUAAGCGUACACGGUGGAUGCCCUGGCAGUCAGAGGCGAUGAAGGACGUGCUAAUCUGCGAUAAGCGCCGGUAAGGUGAUAUGAACCGUUAUAACCGGCGAUUUCCGAAUGGGGAAACCCAGUGUGAUUCGUCACACUAUCAUUAACUGAAUCCAUAGGUUAAUGAGGCGAACCGGGGGAACUGAAACAUC
This 210-nucleotide ribosomal RNA is filed under the name Salmonella enterica subsp. enterica serovar Typhimurium. RNAcentral describes it as "partial 23S ribosomal RNA". It matches the Rfam family "Bacterial large subunit ribosomal RNA", at positions 1 to 202 of the family's 2925-position model. The record is from RNAcentral. Lineage: Bacteria; Pseudomonadati; Pseudomonadota; Gammaproteobacteria; Enterobacterales; Enterobacteriaceae.